This 664-nucleotide long non-coding RNA is filed under the name Mytilus galloprovincialis (Mediterranean mussel). The record is from RNAcentral. Lineage: Eukaryota; Metazoa; Mollusca; Bivalvia; Mytilida; Mytilidae.
GUUUGUAUUUCAAACGCAUGUCAAUAUUAAUAUUUGCAAUCAGUCGUCUUUAAAAAUAGGUUCAAACUUCAUUAAGAGUUACGUAACGUAAAUAUCCUUGUUUGUAAGUUACCUAUUAGGAACAAGUUAGUCAAAUUCUUGUUGCCGUCUACUGUACAUUUUUAAAAAAUCAGAGUUAUAAUAGUUUAAUAUAUACAUAUAUAGGCAAGCAUAAUGCUCAGGCUACCUGAAUAGCAGGGACGCCACAAAUAAUAGAUAUAAUGGGUUACCUCACAAGAAGGAACGCCAUACAAAAUAUACGCAUGGGUCACCUCAGGAGCAGGGACGCCACAAUCAAUUCACAAAUGGGUUACCUUAAGAGCAGGAACGCCAUCAAAAUGAUAAGACAGUAACUUAGAGACUGCAAUAAGCAAAAUCAAAUUCUGUUUAAGAUUUAUUCAAGUUUAUCAUAUUUCAUAUAUUUUUGCAACAUUUUGUUUAAACACUUUGCUUAUAUUUUUAAUUAAAUUUCAUCAACUGUAAAGAUAAACGUUCUUUUGUAAGCAUGUGGGUAACAAACUUUUAAAGAACAACGAUUUAUAAUUGAUACUUAAUAGUAUUUUAUCAUCAUAACAUCAAUUAAAUUUAAAACAAAAAACAAGAAAAAGGAAAAAAAAAAACACCA